RNAcentral lists this ribosomal RNA (460 nucleotides) under uncultured bacterium. RNAcentral's name for it is "partial 16S ribosomal RNA". It matches the Rfam family "Bacterial small subunit ribosomal RNA", at positions 338 to 795 of the family's 1533-position model. The record is from RNAcentral.
CCUACGGGAGGCAGCAGUGAGGAAUAUUGGUCAAUGGACGAGAGUCUGAACCAGCCAAGUAGCGUGAAGGAUGACUGCCCUAUGGGUUGUAAACUUCUUUUAUAUGGGAAUAAAACGUUCCACGUGUGGGAUUUUGUAUGUACCAUAUGAAUAAGGAUCGGCUAACUCCGUGCCAGCAGCCGCGGUAAUACGGAGGAUCCGAGCGUUAUCCGGAUUUAUUGGGUUUAAAGGGAGCGUAGGUGGAUUGUUAAGUCAGUUGUGAAAGUUUGCGGCUCAACCGUAAAAUUGUAGUUGAAACUGGCAGUCUUGAGUACAGUAGAGGUGGGCGGAAUUCGUGGUGUAGCGGUGAAAUGCUUAGAUAUCACGAAGAACUCCGAUUGCGAAGGCAGUUCACUGGACUGCAACUGACACUGAGGCUCGAAAGUGUGGGUAUCAAACAGGAUUAGAUACCCUAGUAGUC